UGGUGGGGUUUUCCUGUUAAUUGAAGGUGGCAGUGAAAACAUGAGCUAAGUGCCAGUUAUAUAAGCCACCAGCUUCAGAAACUUUUUUUGAGUGCUGUAAGCUGGCAGAAAAAUAUGCACAGCCCCAUCACAGGCUACGGUACUUCCCCGCGCACUUGCCCUCCUGCACAGCAGAAAGCUUACUUUCAACGUUGCUCCCAUCACCUUUCCACCUGAUUCUCCAAUAGCUUCUAGAUAACACCAUACCAUGGGUUUUUUUUGCUUGGUUUGAGAUUUUGGGGGGUAUAAAUCAGGGAGAGAUGAUCUUUCAAUUUGCAGGACUCACAGAAACAGUAAAAACACUUGUACAAAGCAACAACAACAAAAAAAAAAUCCUGGCUCAGUCUGCACUCAUCAGACUUAACCCAAGGAAGUAAAAACAGUCUUAUACAAUAAAUAACCUGGUUGCUGAGAAGCAUCAAGAGAAGCCUUAGUGGGUCAGACUAAAAGAUGGGGUUCAGGCAUUUCAGCUACAUGCUGGCAAACCACAGAGCAGCCCUUUAGCUCUCCAGCCACCACACAGCAGGCUGUGCAGACACCCUCAGGGCUUGUACACUUAGUGAGCAACUGCUGCAAGGUAUUUUGAUUUUACUUUUUUUUUUUUUUGGGGGGUGGGGGUGGGGGCAGGACCAAGAGGAAAGCUUACAAACGAAGAUUACAGUUACACAAUUGAAAAACUGCAUUUUUUGCCAGAACAGGAAGCAAUAUUCAAUAUGCCAACAAGUCAGAGUCCACAAUUUGAUUGCUCACUACUGAAAGACUAUUUUAGUUAAAUUCAGGAAGGAAAUGGCCUCUCUGAUACCAUACCUGAUCCCUGACAUUGCACACUCUGCUGAUGCCAAGGCCGUACACUGUUGAGAAUCCAGCAUCAGCUUGCAUACUAUUUUAGGCAUAUUUGCAUAAGCAAGUGGUGACUGACAUUUCUCAAAUGUAAAUUAUGCCCUGAACUCAAACACACACACACGUGCACUUUUUAUUGAGUAAAAACCCCAAUUGCUACCAGUCAAUAAAAGGCAACAGGUUGGGUGAGCACAGCAGAAAGCACAAGAUCAUCGACUGACUGAAUGGACACGCUGGAGGGAAGAGGUGCCACCCAGAGGGACCUGGGCGGGCUGGAGAGGCAAGGAUCUGCAGGUCCCCUCUUCUUCUCUAUCCCCCACACUCUCUGCCAGAGUUUGGGCUGUUGCAAGCACCGCAAAGGACUGGGGAAAGACCAGACUCAUGAGAUGACAGCGUUUGCAGAAAGCUCAGCUCUCUGCUAAUCAGGAACGCCUCAAGGCAAGAGACCAGCAGAAUUCGCUUGGCCUGCCCACCAAAGUCACGGCUUUUGUAAAUAACCCCAAGAGAAGGUCCCUUGCUGGAGCGACAGGACAUCUUCCCACGUUACUGGAUCGUGCUAACCUGGAUCAACAGAUUCAGGAUGAUGUGGCAGAAGAGGAGCAGAGCUAGCACCGCCUUACUGGCCCAAAAGAGGAGAAUUAAGCAAUGCCAGGUUGUGCAGACACCCUGAAGCACCGCUGCCUUCCUCAGCAGGCGCUGCCGAGAUACUCACUUGCCAAGUUUCUCAAGUUUACUCCAUACUUCUUACACCCUCAAUAAAAAAAAAAAUAAUUUCUACUUUAAUAUUCUGAGCUCAGCAUUUGCAGAAGCAACAAUGACAGCCGGGUAAAAUAACUGGAGGUUUUUGGGUGAGGAUUCAAUCCAUCACAAAACAUUUCAGAUAAAGUCCUUAAGAACCAAUCCCGGACAUUUUGCUGCCAGCAGCAAUACAAGAUGGACAAUAUCCACAGCGUACUCCUCUGAGGCUGAGCAAGGAGCCUGCCGCACCAUCCACAGUGCACACAUCUAAGAAAAAUAUCCCAAUUUACAGACCCGCUUGGCCCUGGCUUUGAUAAGGCAACACAACUGGUCCCUCAGCAUCCUCACGCCUGCGCUAAAGGUAGCUGGGUCUCAGUGUCUCCCUGGAAGGCAAGUUUAAAGGCCCAGAAAGCACCAGAGAAAUGUAACAUGUUAUUAAUUAACCCCGGGGGUGAAUCUCGGGUUUCAUCCUCACUACCAAACCCAGAUCGCAGCUUGGAUUUCAGCUGUGACACACACACAGUAAACUGGGGGGAUAAGAUAGAAAAAUCAAGACACAUAAUCACGCGAGGCGGGUGUUUAGCAACAGCCGGGGACAGCAGACAAGGCAGAGCAGCACCAGGAGGGGUCUUACAGAGCCAGCACAGACCCCGCGGAUGGGACCAAAGAGA
This is a long non-coding RNA of Falco peregrinus (peregrine falcon), 2288 nucleotides long. RefSeq lists it as uncharacterized. The transcript has 3 exons. The record is from RefSeq and is a predicted model, not a curated record. NCBI's taxonomy places the organism in Eukaryota, Metazoa, Chordata, Aves, Falconiformes, Falconidae.